RNAcentral lists this ribosomal RNA (380 nucleotides) under uncultured eukaryote. Its description in RNAcentral is "partial 18S ribosomal RNA". It matches the Rfam family "Eukaryotic small subunit ribosomal RNA", at positions 592 to 976 of the family's 1831-position model. The record is from RNAcentral.
CAAUAGCGUAUAUUAAAGUUGUUGCAGUUAAAAAGCUCGUAGUUGGAUUUGUGGCGUACGGUGUGUUCCGGGCACUUGUUGUCUGAGUAACCUGCUGUUGCCAUCCUUGGGUGGCACCUGUGUGGCAUUAGGUUGUCGUGCAGGGGAUGCCCAUCAUUUACUGUGAAAAAAUUAGAGUGUUCAAAGCAGGCUUAUGCCGUUGAAUAUAUUAGCAUGGAAUAAUGAGAUAGGACUUUUUUGCUAUUUUGUUGGUUUGCGCAAAGAGGUAAUGAUUAAUAGGGACAGUUGGGGGUAUUCGUAUUCCGUAGUCAGAGGUGAAAUUCUUGGAUUUUUGGAAGACGAACUACUGCGAAAGCAUUUACCAAGGAUGUUUUCAUUAA